RNAcentral lists this long non-coding RNA (1941 nucleotides) under Homo sapiens (human). RNAcentral's name for it is "HSALNT0385361". The record is from RNAcentral. Lineage: Eukaryota; Metazoa; Chordata; Mammalia; Primates; Hominidae.
GGAGAAUCACAUGAACCCGGGAAGCGGAGCCUGCAGUGAGCCGAGAUCGCGCCACUGCACUCCAGCCUGGGCGACAGCGAGACUCCGUCUCAAAAAAUAUGUAUAUAUAUUACAGAGAUAGCCAUAACUAAUUAAAGGGGUUAGAGAAGCCAACUCUUGCCACAUGCUUGGGAGAAGAACUAGAAAACCUGUGGACAGCCCUUAUGACAAGCACAGCUUCCUGCGGUUCCCAGGGGAAGUUAGUGCCACAGGAUGGAGGCUUUUUCUGGGAUACCACCCACUGCAAGGCACCCAAUAAUUGAACUCUUGUUAUGUGGGAUGGCAACAUCGAUAUAGAACAGAGGAGUCUGAUUGACACUGACCAACUUGGGCGAGUGAACGGAAAAUGCCUCUGUGAGAAGCUCAGGGUCAGCCUUGGGAUCAGCAAUCACCAAAAAGCCAAGCUCUCCAAGCUGCAGUGGAUCUGGUUACUGAAAAUCCCAGAAGUGAAGUGCCCAGCAGUGUGUAUGGCUUCAGAUGGCCGAGGAACAUGUUAGUAGACUUCACUGGCCAGUGAUCCUGGGGGAAUGGAUGGCAUCAAUGGCUGGGUUUGGGUUUAUUUUCUUUUUUUAGACAGGGUCUUGCUCUCUUGCCCAGGCUGGUGUGAAGUGGUGCAGUCAUAGUUCAAUGCAGCCUCGACCUCCUGGGCUCAAGUGAUCUUCGGCCUCUGGAAGUGCUGGUAUUAUAGGCAUGAGCCACCACACGAGGCCAAUAGCGGGGUUUCUACUGGCAAAAUUAAAAAAAAAAUCAAAAUCAACUGGGUAUGGUGGUGCCCACGUGUAGUACCAGCUACUCGGGAGGCUGGGGUAGGAGAUUGAGCCUGGGAGGUCAAGGCUGCAGUGAGCCAUGACUGAGCCACUGCAUUCCAGCCUGGGGAACAGAAUGAGACCUCAUCUCUAAAAAUAAAAAAUACAAAUAAAUAAAUACAUAGUUGGCUACCAUUGAAAAUAUUUAAAUAUCAAUCUAAGAUUAAAUAAUUUAAAAAGUCUGAGGUACAGAAUGGAAUAUACUAUACAUGUUAUGAAUACUAGUAAAUUGAAAGUAGUAAUAUAAUGAAAAAAUCUGGGUGUAGGGGAAGACUGAGGAAAAUAUUAAAAAUAAAUAGCGACUGGGCUGGGCAUGGUGGCUCAUGCCUGUAAUUUCAGCACUUUGGGAGGUCAAGGCAGGCAGGUCACUUAAGCCCAAGAGUUCCAGACCAGCCUGGCCAAGAUGGUGAAAACUGGUCUCUACUAAAAAUGUAAAAACUACCCGGGCAUGGUGUCGCAUGCCUGUAAUCCCAGCUACUCGGGAGGCUGAGGCUUGAGGAUCGCUUGAACCUGGGAGGCAGAGGUUGCAGUGAGCCAAGAUCGCGCCACUGCACUCCAGCCUGAGCAACAGAGUGAGACUCCGUCUCAAAAAAAAAAAAAAAAAAUGAACAAAGACAGGAUUUGAGCCAAAGCCCACUGCCUCCUAAAUUGCUGGGAUUCCCAAGAAUUCAGCUUCUAGUGUGACCAAAACAAAGAUGGAGACAAGUCGCCCUGCAGGGUAGGGCACAAUGGAGGUGGGGGUGGGAGGGCAGAGCUGCUGACCUCUGACCUCUGCCAAGGCAGACGCAUUGGACAACAGAGCAGGACCUGAGGUGAGGCUAAUUCCUCCAGGUGUGAAGAAACACCUUAGGGGGGCCAGGCGCAGUGGCUCACACCUGUAACCCCAACAUUUUGGGAGGCUGAGGCAGCCGGAUCACCUGAGGUCAGGAGUUUGUGACCAACCUGGCCAACAUGGUGAAACCCUCUACUAAAAAUACAAAAAUCAGUUGGUGUGGUGUCAGGCGCCUGUAAUCCCAGCUACUCGGGAGGCUGAGGCAGGAGAAUCACUUGAACCUGGGAGGUGGAAGUUGCAGUGAGCCGAGAUCACACCACUGCA